UACCCGCAGCACAAGUGGUGGUCAUUAUUAUUGGGCCUAAAGCGUCCGUAGCUGGCUUGUUAGAUGCCUGGGUAAAUCGAUGCGCUCAACGUAUCGAACUCCGGGUAGACCGGCAAGCUUGGGACCGGGAGAGGCGUGAGCUACUCGAGGGGUAGGGGUAAAAUCCUGUAAUCCUUCAGGGAGGACCAGUGGCGAAGGCGUCACGCUAGAACGGCUCCGACAGUGAGGGACGAAGCCCUGGGGCGCAAACCGG
RNAcentral lists this ribosomal RNA (253 nucleotides) under uncultured bacterium. RNAcentral describes it as "partial 16S ribosomal RNA". It matches the Rfam family "Archaeal small subunit ribosomal RNA", at positions 474 to 727 of the family's 1478-position model. The record is from RNAcentral.